GGUCCGAUGGUGUAGUUGGUUAUCACGUCAGUCUAACACACUGAAGGUCUCCAGUUCAAACCUGGAUCGGAUCA
This 74-nucleotide transfer RNA is filed under the name Staphylotrichum longicolle. RNAcentral describes it as "tRNA-Val". It matches the Rfam family "tRNA". Rfam says of the family: Transfer RNA (tRNA) molecules are approximately 80 nucleotides in length. Their secondary structure includes four short double-helical elements and three loops (D, anti-codon, and T loops). Lineage: Eukaryota; Fungi; Ascomycota; Sordariomycetes; Sordariales; Chaetomiaceae. The record is from RNAcentral. RNAcentral also lists the same sequence under 2 other names.